Molecule: small RNA, 125 nt
Filed under: Marmota monax (woodchuck)
Lineage: Eukaryota; Metazoa; Chordata; Mammalia; Rodentia; Sciuridae
Source: RNAcentral
GCUGGGUGUGGUAGCACAUGCCUGUAAUCCCAUCGGCUAGGGAGGCUGAGACAGGAGGAUCGUGAGUUCAAAGCCAGCCUCUGCAAAAGCAAGGUGUUAAGCAACUCAGUGAGACCCUGUCUCUA